Molecule: long non-coding RNA, 251 nt
Filed under: Elaeis guineensis (African oil palm)
Lineage: Eukaryota; Viridiplantae; Streptophyta; Magnoliopsida; Arecales; Arecaceae
Description: long non-coding RNA (EGUI_LNC021871)
Source: RNAcentral
GGGGCUGGGAUUUGAGAUGUCCCUACUUUCUUGGCCGGUGGGACCAGGUGAGGACAUAACGUCUGCCCUUUCUGUGGCAGCAUUAUUCUCACAUUGUAGAGUUUGUGGUGUCCAGAGAUGGUAUAUUGGUAUCCAACUUUGUGAGCCAUGUUGCUCGUAGUUUGGUGAGGUGUGGGAUAUGAUGGUGGAUCAUGUUGAUUGGCAAAUAAAAGAAUAAUCAAUACAUUUAUGCCAUAUGUUAUCAUGCCCAC